This 273-nucleotide ribosomal RNA is filed under the name Triticum aestivum (bread wheat). Its description in RNAcentral is "partial small subunit ribosomal RNA". Lineage: Eukaryota; Viridiplantae; Streptophyta; Magnoliopsida; Poales; Poaceae. The record is from RNAcentral.
AUGGUAGUGGCAGUCAUUGUAUGUGGUGGUGCGGUUGCUGAUGUACAGGAGGCGUCCAUGGUGUUAGUUAUCCAUCGUCCAUGCUUAUCUUCUGUAUGCUCUAGCAGCCAGGUGGCUCAAGAAAUAGAAGACGACUCAUGUUCAGCUGGUCCCUCAUCGCCGGGAGGACGGGCGAGGAGGUCGAGGCCCACUGGGGUUCAUGAGGAGGUGUACGGGCGGCAAUCACUACAGCCAUCAUGUGCUACUGCAGGCUUUCCUAGCCUCGUCACAUGA